Molecule: long non-coding RNA, 5453 nt
Organism: Pipra filicauda (Wire-tailed manakin)
Lineage: Eukaryota; Metazoa; Chordata; Aves; Passeriformes; Pipridae
Exons: 12
Source: RefSeq, a predicted model, not a curated record
UUUAUAUUUGCAGCUUUCAUUUUUUGAAUAUGUCUUUAAAAAAAUCUACCGUAACACAAAAUGUCCUUCACUGAAUACUCCUUUUUCAUUUACUACCUAAAUUUUUUCUCUUUGGUUGCUUUCCUCAAGGAUGCUUGUGUGAAGGGAGCAGCUGCAGGAGGAACCAGGCUACCAUGGUGCUUCCCAAGGCUACUUGGCUGUACCAAGAAGAACCCUGGUGGUUUUGUCAGAUUUCCCUUGUCUUCUGUAAGAUCUUCAGGGCAGUGCAGGACUAUUAUUUUGUACGUGUUUGGGAAAUUUCCGUUACUGUUUGGGAAAAGGGACUUCUCCCAAGUGAAGGGGAUCUGACUUGAAGCAAGAGAAGAGAAGCAAAACCUCUGUGUCAACACCCCAGAGACCACCUAGAGACUCAGCUUUACUUAUGAAGACAGGAAAGAAAUGCAAAUAAUUGAGAGUCCAUGGAGCCAACAUGUGUGUAUUCCUGCAGCAACACUCAGUCCUCAUCCUGCCCAGGGAUGUGCAAAGAACAGACAGAGGUUGGAGUUGCUGCUGUGUGAGAAAGAGACCCAGGUUCUGUGCAAGGUGGUGCUCACACUUGUGCUGGAGCUAUCCUUUGGCUCCAUGCAGCACUGCCCCCAGCCCUGCAAAGCUCAGAGCACUGGUGCUGCUCCCCUUGCCCUGAGGGUCCUACUCCCAGCCAGGACUGAUCUCUCUCCUGCGAGGAUGAGUGAAUGACUCUGCCUCCUUGUUCCAGCAGUCUCAACUUCGCCAGGAGCAUUCGGUGUGCACAGAGUAAAUACUUCCAAGACCACCCAUCUGCCCUCCCUUUGGGCAGCUGUACAGGAAUGUUGCUGUGUAGAAGACAAGAGGAGCAGCUGGUACCUGCAGGAUUAGCAAAAUUCACCUUUCCACUCGAUUUCCACAUGGAUCCCACAGGAACAGGCACUCCUCACCCAGUAACUGCUGAAAGAGAACCCAGGGGAACGACAGUGAGCCGGGGUGAUGCCAUGGGGAUGGGGGCGUGUGUUCCUAACGUGGUAAUCCCAGCUAAAGACCCACCUCCGAGAUCUCCAUGCCCCAGUAAAGCUCAUAUUAAAGCAUGGAGGCCUGAUUUCCUUCCAUGAAGUAAUGGGAUGAAACAGGAAAAAUAAGGCUGUUUGUGGAAACAAGCUUCAUCCCAAGUGGUCUGCAAUGUCCUGGAGACUGUAUGGUCAUGAUCCAUGUUUCAGCAGACACUGUGCAAAAACCUGAAGGCAUCAGAUUGAUAAGAGGAAGAUGCUGUGGAUGUCUGAGGGUGAGAACUGCCCUCACAGCUGUGCCAUCAGGAGGUGACAUGGGAGAUGACUAGAGUCCCACACACAUUCCAGGUACAUUCACGUUCUAGCCUACAUUUAAAAUCUCACGUGAAUUCAUUCUGUCUUUCCUAUGCAGAGUUCUAUAGUGCUUAGAGAGAAGUGGAUUUAUGAACAGAAAAAGACAUGCCACAGAAUAAAUCUAGAUACAGGAAAUUACUUUAAAUGUCAUGUAUUCCCAUAGCCGGAUUAUGGAAAAUAUUUUAUAGUCACUGUUUAUAUGUGUUUAUAGAUUGUAAAAAUGUCUCUUUAGCACUGAGAUGUGCUACUGGUACAUUGGGAUGCAGCCAGUACCACACUGUGUGGGUUUGCUGUGGUGCUUUGAGUGCCCUGGGAGAUAUUAAGGACGGCACCUCUCUGCAAUACACACGCACACACACACACGUAUAUAUACAUAGUAUCUCUAAACAUUUGGCCCUAAACUCUUUAGUAAUUAAAUCUGCAAAUGCAGCUGCAAGAAGGGGAAACUUGUUAUUGAAAUAGAUCCCAGAAGCCUGCAGAGGAUAAAAACGUUUACAAGUUGGAUUGCUAAAAGCUGAAACCUUGGACAUACAGACUGUAUGGCUGUUGCUGAAAGCACUCCCGGCCAUUGCACCAGCUUUGCUUCACACACAGACUUCAUUCCUUGCUCUCAGAUACCCCGCUCAACACAGAUCAGGAUUUAGGGAAGUGCUCUCUGGAGUGAUAACAUGGGCCAGCCCCCCCCUUCCCUGAGAUUGGUGAAUCAACACACAAGAGCUCCUAAUGGUUUUCAAAGCAGCCAAAUACAAACUCAAAAUCCUUUUUUAACACCAUUGUCAGGUGAAUCAGGUAUUUCUCGGAGUGUUUGGUCCCUAAAUUUAUUUUCCUGUCAAGAGAUUGUACUUUCCAUGCAGUAGUUCAGUUUUUCUUGCCAACUCCUUCUCUGAAGGAAAGCCUCUAAGUCACCCAAUGCAGCCCACAGGGCUCUGGUGUGUUACUGAGCAUUAAUCAAGAUAGCAGCGUUGUGUAAUUUCCUGGAACCAAAGCUUUUCUUGAACCUUUAUCUGAGUGCAAAAGGCACUCAGAAGUCUCUUGGGUUGAUGAUGGAUGGUAAUGAGAAAGAAAUACCCCAGAUCCAAGAGCUCCGAUCAGGAUCUCAGCAAACCCUGCAGCCAGCAGCAGCAAGGAAUGGGCUGGAUUCUCCCCAUGGUCACCUGAAGGUCUGAGGGCAUCUCUGGGUGGCUUGACCAGAUCAGCUUCUUCAUCAUUACUUAUUUCCUUUAAGGUUUUUCUGCUAUUUUUAGAAUGACUCCAGUGCUCACAGCUGCCUUAACUACCACAGAAAAGCUGAAUGAACACUUUUCCACUCUUGUUGUCUCUCUGUGCUAAAUACUAUCGCUCUUCUCAUACUUUAUGACCACGGAGUCGUUCCUCUACACACACCACCACUCAUGGUCCUACAAUUACACUUUUGGCAGGAACAUGUUAGGUUUUUAUGGGAAUUAAAAAGCACGAGUGAGAGAGAGAACCUGAACCAAAGACAACACAAAGGGCCUUAUUUCUUUGGGUAGAAGCCCAACAGUGCUAUUAAAUAGCUCAAAGCAGAACAGAGCACUCUCUCCAAGAAGCAAAGCUGAGAGACACCACACUCCAGCAAUUAUUUGGUGCCCCACGGAGAAAGGAAAAUAUUCCAAGAGGAGAUUGCUGUAGGAGAUUGCUGCUGCUGAGCACUGACCCCGCCGGCCGCACUAGGACAGUGAGCUGGAGCUGAGUUGGACAGUGUUUGUUCAAGACCAGCUGUGUUUGUGGCUCCUCUUUCCUCCACCUCUGUGUAACAGUUUUCCUGUGCUGUGCUAAGAGAAAACCCCCACAGAGAAUGAAUCACUGGGAGCUGGACCCAGGGCACCUGCUCCAGGGCAGCCCCAGCUCUGUCUGUGGCACAAGGGGGCAAGGGGUCCCACCAGGGUGCCUGAUGGCACCCAGCUCUUUCUUCUGUAAGGAGAUGUCAGCACCCCAAAGGAUCAGAAAUAGCCUUCUAAAGGACAAAAUGGACUUAAAAAGAGAGUUAAAUCCGAAUGUUCAUUUGAUCCAGGUCCUGCUGAGCUGUGGUGGCUGGAGCGCUGCCGCGUGCCUGCUCCUUGCAGCACUGAGGGGAGAUGAGCCCGGCGUGGGACCGGAAUAGCUGUGAAAUUCUGAGAAGUUUGGCUUUGGUUCCAAACUUUAUCACUGGCCAAACCAGUGGCUUUGAUGUGAAAUCCCAAACUCUGCAAGCAUCCGAGUCUGAGCAUCGAGGGCUGGUUGUGCUGCCAAUAAUGGGCGUGUGAGCUCUGAAAUAACAGCGCAGGCUGGGAGCCAUGGAAAAGGAGUGGGGUCGUUUUCCCUUCCUGUUUUAAAGUCGAUGCAGAUUUCACUAGAUAGCACUGCUGUCUCGUUUGCUUGCAUGACAAAGGUGGUGUUGAUGGCAACUUGGAGGAUUGCUAAUGGUCCAAAAGUUUUUUGCAAGUCUGGAUUGCCAGGAACUUUUGUGGCUCUUCUAUGGGUCCUGUGGCACCAAUUAAGUAGCCAGCAAAGAUUCAAACUAGGAGGUGGCCAACUAAGGUGAGCCUGUCUUUUUUCCUUAGAUAUAAAAUACCUGGCUACUAUGUGGAGGAAAGCAGAAGUUAACACAUACUGGGUUAAACCAGGAUUGGAGGUCGACUCAAAUACUUGUCCUUGGCUUUGGACACAAGCCUUUAUAUGGGGCUGGAAAGAAAUGUUCUGAAUGGUCUCUGUGUGGCUACAGUGAUGAAGAGUGCAGUUAAUCACAAUUGUCAUUUAGAUGAUCAGCUAAAGAUCAUGCAGAGAACUCCAAGGAGUACUCCAGAGAGAUGAGAGACUGCUAAAUCCAGGAGUCUCCUAAGGUUCAGCUAACGAGAUCAGCAUCCCCUGAACCCAGCUCUGGAAACACGGUCAUUCCACUCAGGUCACACUGGAUUUGUGGCAGGUCAAACAGGCUUGUGCUGAGACCAUUGUAAAACGUUAUCCCUCCUUCUGUGCUUUGCUGCCUCCUAGCACCUCAUUCUGGCACAUGGAACUGACGGGGAGCAGCCACUGACAUGUGCCGUGAGUUACACCAUCGUUGUGGUCUCAUCUCUGCCACCCAAGGAGGGUGGCUCUGUGCUGCCAAAGCUGCCAAGGACCCAGGGACGACACACCAGGUGCAGGUACCUUGUUUUGGGUGUUUGCUAUCUUGGUUAAGGGCAGGGCCGUGGGCACCUUUCCUCCUUGGGUCUGCCUGUGCUUGGCUUCCCAGGGAAAAGUGUCUGGAGGGAGGGGAAACCACAGGAGAUGCUGUAACACCUUAUCAGUUGUUGGUUGUAAUAUUUUGUGAUGAGGUAGGAAGCCCCUGGGGGCAGGGGGCACUCAACGUGCCCCUUGGCUCCUGCUCAGCAGCCCUUAGGCUGGGGAGCUCCAAACAGUUGGGGUCCCUGCAGUGGGGUCCCAACCCACGCCCUGCCCAGAACCCACCACUCAGUUCCCAGCAGGCAGGAGGGAUGUUAAGCUGGGUGACACUUCACAGGGCUUUUAAAUGCCACCAUCCCCCUGCCACCCACCCCCGGUGUCAGUGCAGGACACUGGGCACAGUGUCAGACCACAAAGCCCUGACUGUCCUGUCUGGGCUGGCCCUGCAGGUGUGGCUGCCCUGUGCGCCCACGGAUGGACGGACAGAAGGAUGGACAGAUGACAGCAAAUGUCAGACUCUAGCCCCAAAACUUCCCUCUAUGCAAUACUCUUAAUCCAAGGGGUGAUCUGGUUCUCCUGUUGUACCACGUCCUGUCUGAGCCCUCCAGUCCCACCCCAAGCCAAGCCUCCUGCCGAUGCCCCGUUCAGCCUCCCCAGUUCAGCUAUGAAAGAAGAGGGUUUCAGCACUGACUCCACAGCACUGUGGGCAGGUGGCACAUGGCAGCACGGGACAGGCGAAGUACAGGACCCACCAUGUGAGACUUCAGUCAGAGGUCAGUGUGAUUUGUGUUACAGAGAAAUGGGUUAUUCCAGAGGUGUGUUACAUGAGUGGAAAAAUUCAGGUUCAAAAAUUUGAGGCCCAUUUUUUUCAGCCUGUUUCCCAGUCUCUUUUUUUUAAUAUUCUAUAUAUAAAAUAUA